RNAcentral lists this unclassified non-coding RNA (1102 nucleotides) under Centruroides sculpturatus (bark scorpion). RNAcentral's name for it is "regulator of nonsense transcripts 2-like, transcript variant X3". Lineage: Eukaryota; Metazoa; Arthropoda; Arachnida; Scorpiones; Buthidae. The record is from RNAcentral.
AAAUAUAUUAAAAUUAUUUGAAUUUCAGAAGAUCAGGAUGAUGGACAGAGUGAAGAUGGAAGUUUUCAUGAUGGAGAUGGUGAUGUAGAUGCUGAUAUGUUUAGCUUGAGCCAGAGUCAACCUAUAGAUGAGGAGAAUGAUGAAGUAGAUGAUGUUGAAGGAAUAGUAUCCACUAGUGAAGAAGAAGUAGGUCAUCUUUUUGAUGAAAAUCAGGAUGUUGCAAUUGUAACAUCUGCACCAAAGCAUAUAUCAUGUCAGGAAGAUGAAGAUUUUAUGACUGCUUUUGAUAAAAUGUUAUCUGAAAGCAUUUUACAUCGCAGUCAAGAUUCUAUCAAGCCACAAUCUGAUAUUGUUAUUCCUAUGAAUAUAAAAGGUGGCACAGGAAAAAAAUCAGGAGGAAUAUUGCUGAAUUUGAAGCCUGAAGAUGAAAAUAACAGAGAAAAUAGUACAAUGAAUUUUGUAUUGAUGACCAGAAGAGGAAACAAGCAACAGUUCAAAAGCUUGGAAGUACCUGUAACUUCAGAAUUAGCCCAAAAUUUGAAAGACAGGGAAGAGGCUGAAAGAGCGGAGAAAGAACAAGUUAAAAAAUUAACUUUAGAUAUUAAUGAGAGACAAGAAGAAGAAGACUAUCAAGAGAUGUUAGCUGCACAGCAGAGACCUGCAGUCAUGAAUCUGAACAGGGACAGGCGUCAAAAGUAUCAUCAUCCCAAAGGUGCACCAGAUGCCGACUUGAUAUUUGGAAACAAGUAAGAUAUCGAUGCGCCCGUGUACCGUGUCGGUAUAGGAAUAUCUCAACGUACAAAAAAUUGUGCAAAGGGACAAUGAUUUUUACAAAAGUAAUAAAAAAAUGCGUAUUUAUUUUAAAAGAAAGCACUGACGGGUUAACUGAAAGAAUAAACUCGAUACAGUCCGAGAGAAUGUUCUCGUCUCUCGGUCGGUUCUACCGUCCUAGUGAAUGCCGAAGGAUUUCGUCAGUUACGAGUCGACAGAAAUGAGCGAGAUAACUACAAAUACUCUAUUUAUACUUUUAAAGUGUUUUUGCACCCAAAGUUUCUGUAUGUUUAAAUGGACAGAAAAAUAAAGCUAUUUAUGUUGUAUGGCA